UACGUAGGGUGCGAGCGUUGUCCGGAAUUAUUGGGCGUAAAGAGCUUGUAGGCGGUCUGUCGCGUCUGCUGUGAAAAUCCGGGGCUCAACCCCGGACUUGCAGUGGGUACGGGCAGACUAGAGUGUGGUAGGGGAGAUUGGAAUUCCUGGUGUAGCGGUGGAAUGCGCAGAUAUCAGGAAGAACACCCGUGGCGAAGGCGGCUCUCUGGGACGGUACUGACGCUGAGACGCGAAAGCGUGGGGAGCGAACAGG
RNAcentral lists this ribosomal RNA (253 nucleotides) under uncultured bacterium. RNAcentral describes it as "partial 16S ribosomal RNA". It matches the Rfam family "Bacterial small subunit ribosomal RNA", at positions 524 to 776 of the family's 1533-position model. The record is from RNAcentral.